CCGGGCUGCGGACAGUGUCUGGUGGGUAGUUUGACUGGGGCGGUCUCCUCCCAAAGAGUAACGGAGGAGCACGAAGGUUGGCUAAUCCUGGUCGGACAUCAGGAGGUUAGUGCAAUGGCAUAAGCCAGCUUGACUGCGAGAGUGACGGCUCGAGCAGGUGCGAAAGCAGGUCAUAGUGAUCCGGUGGUUCUGAAUGGAAGGGCCAUCGCUCAACGGAUAAAAGGUACUCCGGGGAUAACAGGCUGAUACCGCCCAAGAGUUCAUAUCGACGGCGGUGUUUGGCACCUCGAUGUCGGCUCAUCACAUCCUGGGGCUGAAGUAGGUCCCAAGGGUACGGCUGUUCGCCGUUUAAAGUGGUACGCGAGCUGGGUUUAGAACGUCGUGAGACAGUUCGGUCCCUAUCUGCCGUGGGCGCUGGAGAAUUGAGGGGGGUUGCUCCUAGUACGAGAGGACCGGAGUGAACGCACCACUGGUGUUCGGGUUGUCAUGCCAAUGGCACUGCCCGGUAGCUAAGUGCGGAAAAGAUAAGUGCUGAAAGCAUCUAAGCACGAAACUUGCCCCGAGAUGAGUUCUCCCUGACUCCUUGAGAGUCCUGAAGGGACGUUGAAGACUACGACGUUGAUAGGCCGGAUGUGUAAGCGCAGCGAUGCGUUGAGCUAACCGGUACUAAUGACCCGUGAGGCUUAACCUUACAACGCCAGAGGCGUUUUG
RNAcentral lists this ribosomal RNA (711 nucleotides) under Pantoea sp. PNT02. Its description in RNAcentral is "partial 23S ribosomal RNA". It matches the Rfam family "Bacterial large subunit ribosomal RNA", at positions 2240 to 2925 of the family's 2925-position model. The record is from RNAcentral. Lineage: Bacteria; Pseudomonadati; Pseudomonadota; Gammaproteobacteria; Enterobacterales; Erwiniaceae.